Molecule: long non-coding RNA, 417 nt
Filed under: Brassica napus (rape)
Lineage: Eukaryota; Viridiplantae; Streptophyta; Magnoliopsida; Brassicales; Brassicaceae
Description: long non-coding RNA (BNAP_LNC007885)
Source: RNAcentral
CGAAAAGUGAAAAAAUACUAUUUAUUGGUCCGUAAAUUAUCCACUUAGGUUAAUAUAUAUUGGUUUAUUUUUGGUUAUAUUAAAAUUGAAGUUAAAAUUAAGGUUUGGUUCGGUUUGGAAGACUUCACAAGAAGUCUUCUAACAUAAAUUACACUGGAAGACUUCUCAAGAAGUCUUCUAAACCAUUCGGCCAAGAAGUCUUCUUAAGUUUAAGAAGUCUUCCGGGAGUAUUCCAGACCCUAUAAUCAAAUAAGUAAUCAAAUUUACUUUUUUAAACUUAAAAGAAACUUAGAAAGUGUUUAAAUCAAGUUAUUAGAUAGUCACUACACACAUAUAGGUCAAAUUAAAAAAAAAAAAAGAUAAAAUUUCAAAAUCUUACCCUACAAAUACGAACAAUACUACAACAUAUGUUACCAA